RNAcentral lists this ribosomal RNA (465 nucleotides) under uncultured bacterium. RNAcentral describes it as "partial 16S ribosomal RNA". It matches the Rfam family "Bacterial small subunit ribosomal RNA", at positions 338 to 795 of the family's 1533-position model. The record is from RNAcentral.
CCUACGGGAGGCAGCAGUAGGGAAUCUUCCACAAUGGGCGCAAGCCUGAUGGAGCCACGUAGCGUGGGUGAAGAAGGUCCUCGGAUCGUAAAACUUUGUUGUUAGAGAAGUAAGUGCGUGCGCGUAACUGUUCACGUUUCGACGGUAUCUAUCCAGAACGCCUCGGUUAAAUACGUCACAGCCGCCGCGGCAAGACGUAGGGGGCUAGAGUUAUCCGGAUUUAUUGGGCGUAAAGGGAACGCAGGCGGGCUUGUAAGUCUGAUGUGAAAGCCUUCGGCUUAACCGGUGUAGUGCAUUUGAAACUGGGAGACUUGAGUGCAGAAGAGGAGAGUGGAACGCCAUGUGUAGCGGUGAAAUGCGUAGAUAUAAGGAAGAACACCAGUGGCGAAAGCAGCUCUCUGGUCUGUAACUGACGCUGAGGUUCGAAAGCGUGGGUAGCAAACAGGAUUAGAUACCCCGGUAGUC